GACGAACGCUGGCGGCGUGCCUAACACAUGCAAGUCGAACGGGGUGAUUUUCUUCGGAGGAUCACUUAGUGGCGAACGGGUGAGUAACGCGUGAGAAACCUGCCUUUCAGUGGGGGACAACAGUUGGAAACGACUGCUAAUACCGCAUAAUGUCAUUUGGGGGCAUCCUUAAAUGACCAAAGCUUAAUGUGCUGAAAGAUGGUCUCGCGUCUGAUUAGCUGGAUGGCGGGGUAACGGCCCACCAUGGCGACGAUCAGUAGCCGGUCUGAGAGGAUGAACGGCCACAUUGGGACUGAGAUACGGCCCAG
This 308-nucleotide ribosomal RNA is filed under the name uncultured bacterium. RNAcentral's name for it is "bacterial SSU rRNA". It matches the Rfam family "Bacterial small subunit ribosomal RNA", at positions 28 to 334 of the family's 1533-position model. The record is from RNAcentral.